GGAGGGGUGGCCGAGUCUGGCUUAAGGCGGCGGUCUUGAAAACCGCUGUGGGUUGACGCCCACCGUGGGUUCGAAUCCUACCCCCUCCGCCA
Molecule: transfer RNA, 92 nt
Filed under: Deferribacter autotrophicus
Lineage: Bacteria; Pseudomonadati; Deferribacterota; Deferribacteres; Deferribacterales; Deferribacteraceae
Description: tRNA-Ser
Rfam family: tRNA
About the family: Transfer RNA (tRNA) molecules are approximately 80 nucleotides in length. Their secondary structure includes four short double-helical elements and three loops (D, anti-codon, and T loops).
Source: RNAcentral